RNAcentral lists this ribosomal RNA (465 nucleotides) under Vreelandella stevensii. Its description in RNAcentral is "partial 16S ribosomal RNA". It matches the Rfam family "Bacterial small subunit ribosomal RNA", at positions 338 to 795 of the family's 1533-position model. The record is from RNAcentral. Lineage: Bacteria; Pseudomonadati; Pseudomonadota; Gammaproteobacteria; Oceanospirillales; Halomonadaceae.
CCUACGGGAGGCUGCAGUGGGGAAUAUUGGACAAUGGGGGGAACCCUGAUCCAGCCAUGCCGCGUGUGUGAAGAAGGCCCUCGGGUUGUAAAGCACUUUCAGUGAGGAAGAACGCCUGGUGGUUAAUACCCAUCAGGAAAGACAUCACUCACAGAAGAAGCACCGGCUAACUCCGUGCCAGCAGCCGCGGUAAUACGGAGGGUGCGAGCGUUAAUCGGAAUUACUGGGCGUAAAGCGCGCGUAGGUGGCUUGAUAAGCCGGUUGUGAAAGCCCCGGGCUCAACCUGGGAACGGCAUCCGGAACUGUCAAGCUAGAGUGCAGGAGAGGAAGGUAGAAUUCCCGGUGUAGCGGUGAAAUGCGUAGAGAUCGGGAGGAAUACCAGUGGCGAAGGCGGCCUUCUGGACUGGCACUGACACUGAGGUGCGAAAGCGUGGGUAGCAAACAGGAUUAGAUACCCUAGUAGUC